GACGAACGCUGGCGGCGUGCUUAACACAUGCAAGUCGAACGGAAAGGCCCUGCUUGCAGGGUACUCGAGUGGCGAACGGGUGAGUAACACGUGGGUGAUCUGCCCUGCACUUCGGGAUAAGCCUGGGAAACUGGGUCUAAUACCGGAUAGGAGCCAUUUUUAGUGUGAUGGUUGGAAAGUUUUUUCGGUGUAGGAUGAGCUCGCGGCCUAUCAGCUUGUUGGUGGGGUAAUGGCCUACCAAGGCGGCGACGGGUAGCCGGCCUGAGAGGGUGGACGGCCACAUUGGGACUGAGAUACGGCCCAGACUCCUACGGGAGGCAUCAGUGGGGAAUAUUGCACAAUGGGCGCAAGCCUGAUGCAGCGACGCCGCGUGGGGGAUGACGGCCUUCGGGUUGUAAACUCCUUUCGCUAGGGACGAAGCUUUUUGUGACGGUACCUAGAUAAGAAGCACCGGCUAACUACGU
This 464-nucleotide ribosomal RNA is filed under the name uncultured bacterium. Its description in RNAcentral is "partial 16S ribosomal RNA". It matches the Rfam family "Bacterial small subunit ribosomal RNA", at positions 28 to 506 of the family's 1533-position model. The record is from RNAcentral.